UGGGGAAUAUUGCACAAUGGGCGCAAGCCUGAUGCAGCCAUGCCGCGUGUAUGAAGAAGGCCUUCGGGUUGUAAAGUACUUUCAGCGGGGAGGAAGGGAGUAAAGUUAAUACCUUUGCUCAUUGACGUUACCCGCAGAAGAAGCACCGGCUAACUCCGUGCCAGCAGCCGCGGUAAUACGGAGGGUGCAAGCGUUAAUCGGAAUUACUGGGCGUAAAGCGCACGCAGGCGGUUUGUUAAGUCAGAUGUGAAAUCCCCGGGCUCAACCUGGGAACUGCAUCUGAUACUGGCAAGCUUGAGACUCGUAGAGGGGGGUAGAAUUCCAGGUGUAGCGGUGAAAUGCGUAGAGAUCUGGAGGAAUACCGGUGGCGAAGGCGGCCCCCUGGACGAAGACUGACGCUCAGGUGCGAAAGCGUGGGGAGCAAACAGG
This 429-nucleotide ribosomal RNA is filed under the name Brucella melitensis. RNAcentral describes it as "partial 16S ribosomal RNA". It matches the Rfam family "Bacterial small subunit ribosomal RNA", at positions 355 to 776 of the family's 1533-position model. The record is from RNAcentral. Lineage: Bacteria; Pseudomonadati; Pseudomonadota; Alphaproteobacteria; Hyphomicrobiales; Brucellaceae. RNAcentral also lists the same sequence under 2 other names.